RNAcentral lists this ribosomal RNA (253 nucleotides) under uncultured bacterium. RNAcentral's name for it is "partial 16S ribosomal RNA". It matches the Rfam family "Bacterial small subunit ribosomal RNA", at positions 524 to 776 of the family's 1533-position model. The record is from RNAcentral.
UACGUAGGGUGCGAGCGUUGUCCGGAAUUAUUGGGCGUAAAGAGCUCGUAGGCGGCUUGUCGCGUCGGAUGUGAAAGCCCGGGGCUUAACUCCGGGUCUGCAUUCGAUACGGGCAGGCUAGAGUUCGGUAGGGGAGAUCGGAAUUCCUGGUGUAGCGGUGAAAUGCGCAGAUAUCAGGAGGAACACCGGUGGCGAAGGCGGAUCUCUGGGCCGAUACUGACGCUGAGGCACGAAAGCUAGGGGAGCAAACAGG